CCUUCGGGAGGAGGCCGGUGGGGCGCGCGAGGAGCCAUCGCGGACUUAAUAAGGGCGGCUGCGCUGCUGCGCGUGCGCCCGGCGGCGCGGGGCGGGGAGGCGUCCCGGAGGAGCGCGCGGGCCGCCGCCCCCGCCCCUGCCCGCUCCGGCCGGGAAGCCCCUGGUUGGGCCGCGGGCGGACGGUGGCACAGGUGCCCGCUCCGCGCGCGGGGACGCGAGCUUCCCCGGAGGCCCGCUCUUCGGAGCCGGACCCGGGGCCUGUGCGGCGGCCUGGGGCGGGCAGGGCGCGCCCCUGGGCUGUUGGCGUCUUAGAAUAGGGUUUCUCCAGAUCCUGCAGCUAGCAAGCACCACCCCGUCAACACUCUCCCGACAGGACAUCACUUCUGCAAAACCUUCUGCAAAACCUUCCAAACAUGCAUAUACAGAACCCUUGGUUUGUAGUGGGACCCAUCUCUGUCCAGGAGAAGACUGUAUUUCCUCACUUCCCUGUAGCUUGAUGUGGUCAUGUGACCAACGUCUGUCAAAUAGGAAAUAAACAGAAGCCGUGCAAGGAACUUACAGGAAAUCCUUAAAGAGAAGGGGCUAUUCUCCCUCUCUCCUUCCUCUGGCACAACAUGAAUGUGAUGGCCGGAGCUUGAAUAGCCAUCUUGAACUAUGAAGUGGAAGCCACGUGCUAAGGAUGACAGAGCAAAAAGAAGCAGCCUGGUUUCCUGGCACCGUGGACAGGCAUAUCAGCCCAGGAGAGACUACCGCCAGAUUUUUACAUGUGAGAGAAAGUAAUCUGCUAUUUUGCUCUACUGAUGGAAAAGAGAAGACGGAGAACUCACACCUGCCCAUUAUGGUUCUGGACUGAAAGAGUCAUGUGUCCUUCCCCCCAGAGUCCUCGGGCCAGAACUGUUUCUGUAGCCCCAUCCCAGCUGCAGGGGAACACAGGCAAGACUCCAGCCUCCAUGACCUCCCCUGAGUUCCAAAGGGCAGAUUAUGGAACAGUUGCUAAUCAGGGGGGAGCGGCCAAGAAACCACCUGAGGCGAGACUGAAGGGACCAGAGAAGCUCGUCAAGACGAGGAGACCACCUGAGAUGAGGUGAAGGGAGCGCACGCCCUGCACACUCCCCACCCUGAGUCAUGGUUAUAAAGACCCUCAUCAAAUCCUCUGGGGCGAGGACACACAGUUUUUCGAGGCAGAAGCCGGUGUGGCCCCCUUUGCCUGGCAAAGUAAUAAAGCUGUCCUUUUCUACU
Physeter macrocephalus (sperm whale) is the source of this 1239-nucleotide long non-coding RNA. RefSeq lists it as uncharacterized. The transcript has 5 exons. Lineage: Eukaryota; Metazoa; Chordata; Mammalia; Artiodactyla; Physeteridae. The record is from RefSeq and is a predicted model, not a curated record.